RNAcentral lists this non-coding RNA (24 nucleotides) under Arabidopsis thaliana (thale cress). The record is from RNAcentral. Lineage: Eukaryota; Viridiplantae; Streptophyta; Magnoliopsida; Brassicales; Brassicaceae.
AGUGAUUUAUAGGUUGUGAAUGGU